RNAcentral lists this long non-coding RNA (1022 nucleotides) under Musa acuminata (dwarf banana). RNAcentral describes it as "long non-coding RNA (MACU_LNC003258)". Lineage: Eukaryota; Viridiplantae; Streptophyta; Magnoliopsida; Zingiberales; Musaceae. The record is from RNAcentral.
UUGGUGUUCUCAGUCAAUCUGCAACACAAACCAUGGUUUAACUCUUUAUUUUUUGCUUGUGUCAUUUGAAAGAGAUGCAAAGAAUUCACGUCAUAUGUUCAUCCAUCACCCGUUUUAAGUGUGAUAAUAUUUGCUGAAUUCAACUUUUUGGCCUGAAACCAAAAUCUAGUUUACUUACUUUGAAGCAAAUCAAACUCAUAUGUUGACAUCAACCUUACUGCUAAUUAGACCUCUUACGGUCAACAGUAUACGAGCGAGGUGAGGGAGGGAUCACACACAACUCUCGGCCCUUAGCCGUCACGACUCUUGAUGCUGCAUCUAAGCAUCAAGAAGAACUCGUCGGUUUCAUCUGAUCUCUCCAAGGCCACGCCACGCAACGCAGUCGCCGCGCGCGGCAGGUGGAAGGGGAAGAGGCCGCCGAAGGCGGCUGCGCCUCCGCGGCUUCCCUAUCUUCCUCCGUGAUCGUGUCGAGGAUCCUCGUCACCUUGUACCUCACGAUGGACACGAACUGCGGCGGAGCAGCCUCCGUCACGUACCGGCCCACUGCCUGCGCUUUGGCCGCCAUCAUCUCGUCUUCUCCGUUCGCUCAGGCUCAGCUCAGGCGAGGCCACGUCUCCUGGAUGCUCGGAGGGAGGCAUUUAUAGAGCGCUGCAGCGACAGGGAAGGAAGGAAUCAAUGUGGGGAAGAUGCAGAGGGCAGGUUUGGAUGGCCGUGGGGGGAUGCGACUGUGGGCGUCCGCUCCCUGACGAGGGGAGGCGUCGUCUUCAUCGCCGGAUCCGACUUUUUGCAUUGAAUGCGCGGGGUUGGCGUUAUGCGAGCCAAAGCGCGGUGCGUGGGGUGGAUACGUGUUCUUCCGCGACGCGAUCUACUUGUGUUCGUGGUUUCUUGUGUUGUCUGCUGUCGCUUUCGCGUGCAUGAUGAUGCCGAAGAGGUAAUAAAGUGUUCGACGAAAUGCUUUCACCGAGUUGGUGUAAGAUGUAUAUUUUUUAGUACUACUAAAAUUAAGCAACCUCAAAGCAGAU